Molecule: ribosomal RNA, 252 nt
Filed under: uncultured bacterium
Lineage: Bacteria
Description: partial 16S ribosomal RNA
Rfam family: Bacterial small subunit ribosomal RNA
Source: RNAcentral
UACGUAGGUCCCGAGCGUUGUCCGGAUUUAUUGGGCGUAAAGCGAGCGCAGGUGGUUUAUUAAGUCUGGUGUAAAAGGCAGUGGCUCAACCAUUGUAUGCAUUGGAAACUGGUAGACUUGAGUGCAGGAGAGGAGAGUGGAAUUCCAUGUGUAGCGGUGAAAUGCGUAGAUAUAUGGAGGAACACCGGUGGCGAAAGCGGCUCUCUGGCCUGUAACUGACACUGAGGCUCGAAAGCGUGGGGACCAAACAGG